CGGCGGUCCAACUGGUGAUCAGCAUUACUGGGCCUAAAGCGUCCGUAGCCGGAUUGUUGGAUUCUGAGUGAAAUUCGUCAGCUUAACUGAUGAGCGUGCUUGGAACACCCGCAAUCUAGGGACCGGGAGAGGUAGGGGGUAGGCCCCGGGUAGAAGUAAAAUUCUAUAAUCCGGGGAGGACCACCAGUGGCGAAGGCGCCCUACCAGAACGGGUCCGACGGUGAGGGACGAAGGCCAGGGGAGCGAACCGGAUUAGAUACCCGAGUAGUCC
This 271-nucleotide ribosomal RNA is filed under the name uncultured archaeon. Its description in RNAcentral is "partial 16S ribosomal RNA". It matches the Rfam family "Archaeal small subunit ribosomal RNA", at positions 477 to 747 of the family's 1478-position model. The record is from RNAcentral.